This 1244-nucleotide long non-coding RNA is filed under the name Canis lupus familiaris (dog). RNAcentral's name for it is "lncRNA (ENSCAFG00845030615.1)". The record is from RNAcentral. Lineage: Eukaryota; Metazoa; Chordata; Mammalia; Carnivora; Canidae.
AAAAGUCUGCGUGAACUGCCUUCUCGUUGGCUGCCAAGUCCAUCAGGAGCCCGGUGCUACCUCCGGCCUGGAAGGGAAAGGGGACACGGCGUCAGGGCUGCUUUCCGGGAGAGCAGGAAGGGGGGGGGGGGACAGCGCCCUACAGGACCCGGGGCCGCCCUGCAGCAGAGGCAGGCGGGCGAGGGGUGGAGAGGUGCCCCGGUCGGAGCCAGAGUUUCGUUUCAGGCCGAGGAAGUGGGCGAGAGGGGCGGCAUCCCAGGGAAUUACCUUGAAGGUCCCCUCGGGUCCUCGGGUCUUGGGCGCCGUGUGCAUCGCAUCCCCGGGCUCCCCCUGCGUCUCACACAGCAUCCUGCAGCCGCCCUGACCUGCCACCUCCCCGCAAACCCUGGGCGGGGUUCUAGCCCCCUACGGGGCGCCGCAGAGGCCCCGAGUCUGUGCGAACCCUGCGCCGCCGCCUGGGCCCUGGAUCGGCCCCCGCUGCUGCGGAGCCUCCACCCACUUCCCUGGGGCCUCCCCGCGGGCCUGGGGUCCCGGCGCCUCGCGGGCCAGCGCGGCCGGGCAGGCGGAGGCCACACGGCGACGGGGGAGGGUCCCCGGGCCGCCCGCUCCCGCCUUUCCCGGCUCCGGAGUCGCCGGGCGGCUGCCCCUGGGCCUUUCCGCGGUCGUUCUCAGGAACCCAAACCCGAGACGUUUAAGAAAAAAAAAAAAAAAAAAAAAUCCCGGGAUCCUCCGCCGCCUCUGCCCGCGGCCUCCCGCCCUGCCCCGGGCCACGCAGGCCACCCGCUCCCGGGCCGCGGCCCCUCUCGCCCCAGCCCCCAGCCCGCCCCCCGGGCCGCCUCCCAGCGCCGCCCCCGUGUCCCCGGGCGCCCGCCUGGCCGCCGCCUCCCGCCUCACCUCGUCCAGGUCCACGUAGGGCCCGGCGCCCUCGGGGAACAUCUCGUCCACCGCCGCCGGCUUCAUCUCGCCGCCCGCGCCCCCGGCCCACUUCCGGCCCGCCCGACGCCUCUUCCGGUGCGCGCCGGCCGCGGCGGGUCUAGGCGCCGGAGGACCGCCGACUCUGUGGUUCCCUGGGCGCCCCGGGAGGGACCUGCGCGGGGAGGCGGGGAGGCGGGGUGGCCCCGGGCGCCGACGGCUCGGCCCCGACGGCCCAGCGCGCAGACCGGGCGAAGCCGCGCGCGAACGCGGGGGUCGGAGGGCCGGGGCGGGGCGGGGCCGGGCUAUCCUGCGGUCCUGGGGGCGGCGGG